This 471-nucleotide ribosomal RNA is filed under the name uncultured bacterium. Its description in RNAcentral is "partial 16S ribosomal RNA". It matches the Rfam family "Bacterial small subunit ribosomal RNA", at positions 28 to 507 of the family's 1533-position model. The record is from RNAcentral.
GACGAACGCUGGCGGCGUGCUUAACACAUGCAAGUCGAACGAUGAAGCGGUGCUUGCACCGUGGAUUAGUGGCGAACGGGUGAGUAAUACGUGAGUGACCUACCUUUGACUCUGGGAUAAGCCUGGGAAACUGGGUCUAAUACCGGAUACGACCAAUCUCUGCAUGGGGUGUUGGUGGAAAGCGUUAUGGAGUGGUUUUAGAUGGGCUCACGGCCUAUCAGCUUGUUGGUGAGGUAAUGGCUUACCAAGGCGACGACGGGUAGCCGGCCUGAGAGGGUGACCGGACACACUGGGACUGAGAAACGGCCCAGACUCCUACGGGAGGCAGCAGUGGGGAAUAUUGCACAAUGGGCGCAAGCCUGAUGCAGCGACGCCGCGUGAGGGAUGACGGCCUUCGGGUUGUAAACCUCUGUUAGCAUCGAAGAAGCGAAAGUGACGGUAGGUGCAGAGAAAGCGCCGGCUAACUACGUG